RNAcentral lists this ribosomal RNA (292 nucleotides) under uncultured bacterium. RNAcentral describes it as "partial 16S ribosomal RNA". It matches the Rfam family "Bacterial small subunit ribosomal RNA", at positions 505 to 796 of the family's 1533-position model. The record is from RNAcentral.
GUGUCAGCCGCCGCGGUAAUACGGGGGGGGCAAGCGUUGUUCGGAAUUACUGGGCGUAAAGGGCUCGUAGGCGGCCAACUAAGUCGGACGUGAAAUCCCUCGGCUCAACCGAGGAACUGCGUCUGAUACUGGAUGGCUUGAAUUCGGGAGAGGGAUGCAGAAUUCCAGGUGUAGCGGUGAAAUGCGUAGAUAUCUGGAGGAAUACCGGUGGCGAAGGCGGCAUCCUGGACCGACAUUGACGCUGAUGAGCGAAAGCCAGGGGAGCAAACGGGAUUAGAUACCCUGGUAGUCC